AGGUGUUUGGAGUUUGAUGUAAGCAAAAAUAAAGCAAUUGAAGCUUUAGGAAGAGUUCUCAACUUUCCUAAUACAGCAUAUGCAAUUAACUUAAGCUUUCCCUAUUGAUACUGGAAAGAAAUUCUA
Molecule: long non-coding RNA, 126 nt
Organism: Lontra canadensis (Northern American river otter)
Lineage: Eukaryota; Metazoa; Chordata; Mammalia; Carnivora; Mustelidae
Exons: 3
Source: RefSeq, a predicted model, not a curated record